CCCAGGCCAGUCCCCAUCAUUCUGCAGUGCUGUGCUUUCGGAGCCAUCCCUGUGUCUGACAGCCUUGUUCGUGGAGCACUAAAUGAUGCUCUUGGGGUCUCCUGCGAGUUUUUGUCAUGGGACAGUGCUGUGAAUGGCAGGCAUGGUGAUCUCCAGCGGCCCUUCCUGAGUUAUGGCUUUGUACCCUAGAGAGAGCUGGCAGUGAGAGAUGGGAGGCACGGU
Molecule: long non-coding RNA, 222 nt
Filed under: Homo sapiens (human)
Lineage: Eukaryota; Metazoa; Chordata; Mammalia; Primates; Hominidae
Description: non-protein coding lnc-SH2B1-1:1
Source: RNAcentral